CAAUAGAUUGAUGGCGACCGGCGCACGGGUGAGUAACACGUAUCCAACCUACCGGUUAUUCCGGGAUAGCCUUUCGAAAGAAAGAUUAAUACCGGAUAGUAUAACGAGAAGGCAUCUUCUUGUUAUUAAAGAAUUUCGAUAACCGAUGGGGAUGCGUUCCAUUAGUUUGUUGGCGGGGUAACGGCCCACCAAGACAUCGAUGGAUAGGGGUUCUGAGAGGAAGGUCCCCCACAUUGGAACUGAGACACGGUCCAA
Molecule: ribosomal RNA, 255 nt
Filed under: uncultured bacterium
Lineage: Bacteria
Description: partial 16S ribosomal RNA
Rfam family: Bacterial small subunit ribosomal RNA
Source: RNAcentral